RNAcentral lists this ribosomal RNA (388 nucleotides) under uncultured bacterium. Its description in RNAcentral is "bacterial SSU rRNA". It matches the Rfam family "Bacterial small subunit ribosomal RNA", at positions 28 to 405 of the family's 1533-position model. The record is from RNAcentral.
GAUGAACGCUAGCUACAGGCUUAACACAUGCAAGUCGAGGGGCAGCAUGACGGAAGCUUGCUUUCGUUGAUGGCGACCGGCGCACGGGUGAGUAACGCGUAUCCAACCUGCCCACCACUUGGGGAUAACCUUGCGAAAGUAAGACUAAUACCCAAUGAUAUCCCGACGAAGGCAUCCGAAUGGGAUUAAAGAUUUAUCGGUGAUGGAUGGGGAUGCGUCUGAUUAGCUUGUUGGCGGGGUAACGGCCCACCAAGGCAACGAUCAGUAGGGGUUCUGAGAGGAAGGUCCCCCCACAUUGGAACUGAGACACGGUCCAAACUCCUACGGGAGGCAGCAGUGAGGAAUACUGGUCAAUGGGCGAGAGCCUGAACCAGCCAAGUAGCGUGCA